GAUGAACGCUGGCGGCGUGCUUAACACAUGCAAGUCGGACGGGCACAUCUUUCGGGGUGUGUGAGUGGCAGACGGGUGCGUAACACGUAGGUGACCUGCCCUGGAGUGGGGAAUAACUGCCCUAACGGGUGGCUAAUACCGCAUAUGCCCACCGGGUCAGACCGGUGCGUAAAGCCUUUGGGCGCUUUGGGAUGGGCCUGCGGCGGAUUAGGUAGUUGGUGGGGUAACGGCCUACCAAGCCGAUGAUCCGUAGGGGCGUGAGAGCGUGGCCCCCCACACUGGCACUGAGACACGGGCCAGACACCUACGGGAGGCAG
RNAcentral lists this ribosomal RNA (317 nucleotides) under uncultured bacterium. RNAcentral's name for it is "bacterial SSU rRNA". It matches the Rfam family "Bacterial small subunit ribosomal RNA", at positions 28 to 351 of the family's 1533-position model. The record is from RNAcentral.